GGAGAAGGGAGGAAGAGACAUUCCUGAUGAGAGAAAAAUUAUGAAAAUCAUAGAGGUGACGGAAGAAGAGAGAGUACGAAGUGUAUGAUAUUUUAGAGUAAUUUGAGGUUUUAGAUAAAAACCUUGAGGAAAUGCUGCUAAAUUUGUGAGAGCAAAGAAAGAGGAAGAGAAGAAGAAUAAGGAACACGAUAAAAAAGAAGUUAUAAACCAUUAGAAAGGUAAGCUUUUUCUUAAUUUUUGAAGUUCAGUUUCUCUUUGAUAUUUAGGAU
RNAcentral lists this long non-coding RNA (269 nucleotides) under Carica papaya (papaya). Its description in RNAcentral is "long non-coding RNA (CPAP_LNC004333)". The record is from RNAcentral. Lineage: Eukaryota; Viridiplantae; Streptophyta; Magnoliopsida; Brassicales; Caricaceae.